RNAcentral lists this unclassified non-coding RNA (1417 nucleotides) under Hevea brasiliensis (rubber tree). The record is from RNAcentral. Lineage: Eukaryota; Viridiplantae; Streptophyta; Magnoliopsida; Malpighiales; Euphorbiaceae.
GUGGAUGAGCUCAUUGAGAAGGCUGAUGGAUUUGCUGGAGUCUUUCCUGAGCACAAGUAUGAGAUUGUUAGGAAGCUCCAAGAGAGGAAGCACAUUUGUGGUAUGACAGGAGAUGGUGUGAAUGAUGCCCCUGCACUGAAGAAAGCAGACAUUGGUAUAGCUGUGGCAGAUGCAACUGAUGCUGCUAGGAGUGCUUCAGACAUUGUUUUGACAGAGCCAGGAUUAAGUGUGAUUGUUAGUGCUGUAUUAACAAGUAGAGCCAUCUUUCAAAGAAUGAAGAACUACACAAUCUAUGCUGUUUCCAUCACAAUUCGUAUUGUGAUGGGAUUCAUGCUCGUUGCACUUAUUUGGAAAUUCGACUUCUCGCCAUUCAUGGUCUUAAUCAUUGCUAUUCUCAAUGAUGGCACCAUUAUGACCAUCUCCAAGGACCGAGUCAAGCCAUCUCCUAUGCCUGACUCUUGGAAGCUCAAGGAAAUUUUUGCCACAGGCAUUAUUCUUGGAACCUAUCUGGCAAUCAUGACUGUGAUAUUCUUUUAUCUUGCUCAUGACACUGACUUCUUCCCACAAAAAUUCGGAGUGAAGACAAUCAAAGGUAUACAUGCUGAGCUUACAGCUGCUCUUUACCUUCAAGUAAGCAUUAUCAGUCAAGCACUCAUCUUCGUUACUCGAUCAAGGAGUUGGUCCUUCAUGGAACGUCCUGGUAUCCUACUUGUUAGCGCUUUCAUAGUAGCACAAUUGGUGGCUACAAUUAUUGCUGUAUAUGCAAGCUGGGGCUUUGCAAAAAUUGAAGGCAUUGGUUGGGGUUGGGCAGGAAUAAUAUGGCUUUACAGUAUUAUCACCUAUAUCCCUCUUGAUAUCCUUAAGUUCAUGAUUCGUUUUGCAUUAACUGGGAAGGCCUGGGAUAACCUGCUGCAGAACAAGACUGCUUUCACGACCAAGAAAGACUAUGGAAAGGGUGAGAGGGAAGCACAGUGGGCUGCUGCUCAACGUACGCUUAGUGGUCUCCAACAAGCAGAUGGUAUAACUCAUGACAAGGCUACCUAUAAAGAAUUAACAGAGCUUGCAGAGCAGGCUAAGAAGCGUGCUGAAGUAGCAAGAUUAAGGGAGCUUCACACAUUGAAAGGGCAUGUUGAGUCAGUGGUGAAGCUAAAGGGACUUGACAUUGAGACCAUCCAACAACACUACACAGUUUAAGGCAUUGAAGGAGCUAGUCCAUAACAAGGAACAUAGAGCAACUGUGAUGGAAAUGGGGGAAGUUUUAGGGGAAAGAGAAUUUGAAGAAUGAAUAAGCUAAUCUUAAUCUUUUGUCAAUUUAGUAUUUCCUCUAUUCAUUGUUAGGAUGAGAUUUGUUGUAGCUGAUAUUGAAGAAGACAAUAAAAUGAGAUUUGUUGUAGCUGAUAUUGAAGAAGACAAUAAA